AUUGAUGUGUGAUGAAAAGCAUGGUUAUGCUCCAGCCAGAGCAUGCUGACCUGUGUAUGGAGAAACACUCCAUGCUGCCUUCCUUCUGAUAACAAU
Molecule: small nucleolar RNA, 96 nt
Organism: Ylistrum balloti
Lineage: Eukaryota; Metazoa; Mollusca; Bivalvia; Pectinida; Pectinidae
Product: small nucleolar RNA U83B
Exons: 1
Source: RefSeq, a predicted model, not a curated record